GACGAACGCUGGCGGCGUGCUUAACACAUGCAAGUCGAACGGAAAGGCCCUGCUUUUGUGGGGUGCUCGAGUGGCGAACGGGUGAGUAACACGUGAGUAACCUGCCCUUGACUUUGGGAUAACUUCAGGAAACUGGGGCUAAUACCUGCUAGGAGCUCCUGCUGCAUGGUGGGGGUUGGACAGUUUCGGCGGUUGUGGAUGGACUCGCGGCUUAUCAGCUUGUUGGUGGGGUAGUGGCUUACCAAGGCUUUGACGGGUAGCCGGCCUGAGAGGGUGACCGGCCACAUUGGGACUGAGAGACGGCCCAGACUCCUACGGGAGGCAGCAGUGGGGAAUAUUGCACAAUGGGCGGAAGCCUGAUGCAGCAACGCCGCGUGCGGGAUGACGGCCUUCGGGUUGUAAACCGCUUUCGCCUGUGACGAAGCGUGAGUGACGGUAAUGGGUAAAGAAGCACCGGCUAACUACGUG
This 468-nucleotide ribosomal RNA is filed under the name uncultured bacterium. RNAcentral's name for it is "partial 16S ribosomal RNA". It matches the Rfam family "Bacterial small subunit ribosomal RNA", at positions 28 to 507 of the family's 1533-position model. The record is from RNAcentral.